RNAcentral lists this long non-coding RNA (2339 nucleotides) under Capsicum annuum. RNAcentral describes it as "long non-coding RNA (CANN_LNC013323)". The record is from RNAcentral. Lineage: Eukaryota; Viridiplantae; Streptophyta; Magnoliopsida; Solanales; Solanaceae.
UUAUCUCUGUUUUCAUUCCUAUUUUCGUGGCAACUUUUUAUUCCUUACCUUUCCUUACUUUCCUUGUUCACUAGUAGAUAUGAUUUUACGUAUCAAAUUCGAAAAAGAAUUUCUCUGUUUUUUCUUAUAAUAUUUAUUUUUUUGGAAUGAAAAACAAGAAUAUCCAUAUGCUGAAGUAAGCUUUAUUGUCAGCAAAGCACCAACCUUAGGCAUGUAUUUCUUUGUUUGUUAGUUCAUACUAGUUUUUAUAUAUAAUCUUGGCGGCUUUUCUUCCCAUUUUUCAAACAUUUAAUGGCUUUAGGUAAUUCCUUUUUUAUUCAAAACGUAUGAUAUAUAUUUGAUUAUCGUCAUAAUGGGUGUUUACUUUUAAUUUUUAUAUGAAAAUCUCCAUUUUUUAAUUCUUUAGAAUUCAAAUUUGGAUUUUCUUAUUGUACUUGUUAAUGGGGUCUUAUUAUUAUUAUUUUUGCUUUUUGACUAUUCAGAUCAAGGAUUAAAUUCUGGACUAGUGUCUUGUAAAACACUUCCUCCUUUGUCUUGAAUCAAGAAGCAUUGAAUUUUCUGAGUUGAUGGAAUUCAUAUAAAUUGUUUUGAUAUGUUUUGAAAAGACGAGGGAAAAAAGAAACAAUUUUGUUGGUGAAUUAGGAAGGAAGAUAACAUGAUUUUUGCAAAGAUAUUAGAAUCAGAAAAGAGAAAUGUGAUUGUGGGAAUUCGAUUUGAUGGACAUAUUAGAGAGUUGUUGAAUUGGGCUAUUGUAAAAGUUGCAGAACCUGGAGACAGAGUUAUUGCUCUACAUGUUUGUCGUGAUGCCGGUACGUCACUAAAAUCUUACUUGUCCUAAUUGAAUUUUGCUAUGUUUUUGCACUUGACAUUGGAACUUUUAUCAUUUUCAGAUUCAAUUUCAAAUGUUAAAUCAUCGUUGGACACUUAUCUGUAUGAUUACGAUGGCUUAUGUAAUAAAAUGCAGGUUGCUUUUUCUUUCUUUCUUUUUUUUCCUUCCUAGUGAUGGAUACAAUUCAGCUUUCUCUAAAUUGUUUGUCGUCUUUUUGGUAAAUAAAGAAAAACACCGAUGGUGAUUGAUGUGGUUUGUUUUUGGUUGUGAAUUUCAGGUGGAUCUUAUUUCUUUGGUGUCAGAAGGAAGUUCUAUUAGAAGAGCUUUGAUUAGGGAAGCAAAGAACCAUGCUGCAUUAGCUGUUGUAGUAGGAACUAGCAAGCAUAGUACUCUUGGGUAAGUAAAACUAUAUACUUCUUAAUUUUUUUCUCCAUUACCGACAGUGGCGGGGGUCAGGAUUUUUACUAACGGAUUCAGAAAACUCGAGGGCAUUAAAGCUUUCGUCAUGCGCAGCUUUCGGGAGAAAACAGAACUAAAUAAACAAACAAACAAACAAUUUUAGCCUCUGUUUUUUUUGAAUACGUUGUUUAAUGUUUAUCUCUGUUUUCAUUCCUAUUUUCGUGGCAACUUUUUAUUCCUUACCUUUCCUUACUUUCCUUGUUCACUAGUAGAUAUGAUUUUACGUAUCAAAUUCGAAAAAGAAUUUCUCUGUUUUUUCUUAUAAUAUUUAUUUUUUUGGAAUGAAAAACAAGAAUAUCCAUAUGCUGAAGUAAGCUUUAUUGUCAGCAAAGCACCAACCUUAGGCAUGUAUUUCUUUGUUUGUUAGUUCAUACUAGUUUUUAUAUAUAAUCUUGGCGGCUUUUCUUCCCAUUUUUCAAACAUUUAAUGGCUUUAGGUAAUUCCUUUUUUAUUCAAAACGUAUGAUAUAUAUUUGAUUAUCGUCAUAAUGGGUGUUUACUUUUAAUUUUUAUAUGAAAAUCUCCAUUUUUUAAUUCUUUAGAAUUCAAAUUUGGAUUUUCUUAUUGUACUUGUUAAUGGGGUCUUAUUAUUAUUAUUUUUGCUUUUUGACUAUUCAGAUCAAGGAUUAAAUUCUGGACUAGUGUCUUGUAAAACACUUCCUCCUUUGUCUUGAAUCAAGAAGCAUUGAAUUUUCUGAGUUGAUGGAAUUCAUAUAAAUUGUUUUGAUAUGUUUUGAAAAGACGAGGGAAAAAAGAAACAAUUUUGUUGGUGAAUUAGGAAGGAAGAUAACAUGAUUUUUGCAAAGAUAUUAGAAUCAGAAAAGAGAAAUGUGAUUGUGGGAAUUCGAUUUGAUGGACAUAUUAGAGAGUUGUUGAAUUGGGCUAUUGUAAAAGUUGCAGAACCUGGAGACAGAGUUAUUGCUCUACAUGUUUGUCGUGAUGCCGGUACGUCACUAAAAUCUUACUUGUCCUAAUUGAAUUUUGCUAUGUUUUUGCACUUGACAUUGGAACUUUUAUCAUUUUCAGAUUCAAUUUCAAAUGUUAAAUCAUCG